AACCCUUUGGUUGCAUCUUUUAAUAGCACUUUAUGAUUUCUUCCUGUUGUAUUUCUUUUAAGUUUAGGAUUAGAAAAGGAUAUUGAAAGGCCAUUUUCUUGAAUUGUGGAAUUUCACUGAAUUUUUGGAAGGAAUUUUCUUCUCUUGAAGUAUCUUGUGUGAUGUUUACACAGCACAAGAUUAAAAUGUUUCCUCUAUCCUCACACUUCCUUCUUCUGGAUGAAAACAGACAUAAUUGUUUGACUAUCUUUAUAUGCAGCUUUUAUUUCUAUCUCUUUUUCUUAAGUCUUCUCAUAUUUCCUGGUUCCAGUACAGCCUCUGUAUGACUAAUUGAUCCAUCUUCAUUAGGCUGUCAUCUGAGUAAAUGAUUGUCACAAUGUAUAAAUACAGUGUUUACUGAAAAAAUAGGAUUUUAAGUAUUGUGCACUUUCAAUUUAUAAUUAUGGUUUUUUGUUAUGAACUGUACUAAUCUUUAAUCUGUUUCAUUGCUGUUUCAUAAAAAACAGAUCUGUGAGUUUACCUCCAGUACUGUUUGGACCUCCUUGCUUCAGUCUCUGGCUAUUAUUAGUGCACUAUCUCACUACUCAAGUAUGUGGCUAGUGAAUUCUGGAAAAUUUGUUGUCUGGGAUAUUGUUGAUAUCUUUCAAAUACACUCUGCAUGCUUUUGACUGUACUGGUUUGCACACUUCCAGAUUUUUUUUAGAAGUAUUUUGAGUUUUGGCUAAGAUCUUCAUGGUUAUGGACUAAUUUCUGAUGGAUUUGGCCUUUGAGGUGCUGAAGUCAUGAGCAGAGCCAGCCAGAGGCUGCCUGAAAGUUCCAGAAACUUCUUACUGGCAAAUCUGUUUCCCAGCAAGAAAUUUCCAGCCUAUCCACACCUCCACUGGGAGUGUUUAUACUGUGCUCUCAAGCACAUGCUGUUACUCUUGGGGUGUCCUGUGCAAGGCCAGAUGUUGGAUUUGAUGAUCCUGGAGUGUCCCUUCCAACUCAGGGUAUUCUAUGACUCUCUGACUCCAAACCCACACCUCACAGUACAGGAAAUGAGAACAGUGAUCUGAUUUCUUGGCCAAGCCCUGACAGACUGCCUUCAGAAGGAGAAGCUGGGAAACUGAUUUUUAAGAGUGACUCAGUAGCAUCAUCUGCAGCCCACCCCUGACUCAAAACUACCAAUCAACCUGUACUGAAUCAGGAAGAAAUCUACAUCCCAAAUUUCCUGCAUACACUAAUGCGUCAAUGGCCCUUUAAAAGUUGUGCUACCAUGUAUCCAACCAUAUGUGUCAACCGACUCCACUGCCAUCUCUUGGGAAUUUUGACUCGUGGCAUAGUUAAAACCAAACCAGGUGCUCAGGACUCCGAGGCUUCCCCAGUACCUCCCAAGAAAAUCUUUGUCACCUCCAGACUUACUGGGGUUUCACCAGAUGAGCCAUCACAGGGGCUCAUCUGGAAAUUUCAUCUCUGCAAGCUCACCAUCGCACUGGUUCCCAUCAACCUUAAACGCCGCCCUGAGCUCGUGGUUUGUCUGACUCGCACCGACCUGAGACCACCUGCAGAGCCCUUGGAGAGAGCAGCAGCUGCACAGCUUCAGAGCAGCACACCAAGCUAACAACCCAUCAGCUUCCUUAUGCCAGAACCUCACUGCUGCUUCACCGGAGGAUUCAGAGCUGCCUACAGGCCUUUCCAGGAGAAGUCCAGGUCCUCAAGAGCAUGACGCUUUCUGAGCACCUCCCAAGCAAGUGUUUCUUUCUACAAGAAGAUCAUCUGAGUGGCUUGGGGUGCUGAUGUUCAUUGAAUAGGAAGUACUCAGCACUAUAAUGUUGUUCUUACUAUUCAGCACAGACUCAUAUUUUAGUAUAUUACUCACACUUUAUUCUGAAUGCUGAUCCUGAGAUCAGCUCAGCCUGUUAGAUCCUGCUGCUAAAAACAUCAAGGUUGUGGGUACAGUCCCUGUAUGGGCCAAAAGUGGAAUUUGAUGAUCCUUAUAGGUCCCUUCCAACAUAAUAUUCUGUGAUGCUGUGGCCUACUAAUUUCUGUGUGAAACUCAGGUGUUUGUCACCCACUACAUUGUCUUAAUGUGCUCCUACAAACACUCCACAAUGUAAAGGAGCAUCAUGAUUGCUUUGCUUUUACUGAUGAUAAAUGAAAGCAUGGAAGUCAAACGUUGUGAUGACAAACUUUUUCAAGUCAGUAUAAUGUGAUUUUUUAAGUUUUCAGGACAGAAUUUCAAGUUACUGAAGUUUAAUUGUGAAAUCUCAACAUGUAUGUGAACUGGGAUGCUCAGGGUUAGAAGUAACAUGCAAAUAAUUCAUGAAAGUUUUGGCUUGGAGCUCUGGGUUUUGGGUCAUUCUGUUUGGUUUGUUUGCAGGAGUUUGUCUAGACUGACCUAUAAAAAUUUCAGUAAGACUUUGUGCAAUGAAAAUUAAAUUCUCAAGGAUA
Molecule: RNA transcript, 2430 nt
Organism: Lonchura striata (white-rumped munia)
Lineage: Eukaryota; Metazoa; Chordata; Aves; Passeriformes; Estrildidae
Gene name: E3 ubiquitin-protein ligase Topors-like
Source: RefSeq, a predicted model, not a curated record